This 506-nucleotide ribosomal RNA is filed under the name uncultured bacterium. Its description in RNAcentral is "bacterial SSU rRNA". It matches the Rfam family "Bacterial small subunit ribosomal RNA", at positions 29 to 505 of the family's 1533-position model. The record is from RNAcentral.
AACAAACGCUGGCGGCGUGCCUAACACAUGCAAGUCGAACGCGAAAAUCGGCUUCGGCCGAUGAGUAAAGUGGCGCACGGGUGAGUAACGCGUGGAUAAUCUACCCUUCAGUUGGGAAUAACUUAUCGAAAGGUGAGCUAAUACCGAAUAAAACUGCCUGACCACGGUCGGGUAGUCAAAGAUAGCCUCUGCUUGCAAGCUUUCGCUGAAUGAUGAGUCCGCGUACCAUUAGCUAGUUGGUGGGGUAAUGGCCUACCAAGGCGACGAUGGUUAGCUGGUCUGAGAGGAUGAUCAGCCACACUGGAACUGAGACACGGUCCAGACUCCUACGGGAGGCAGCAGUGAGGAAUCUUGCGCAAAUGGGGGAAACCCUGACGCAGCAACGCCGCGUGAGUGAGGAAGGUCUUCGGAUCGUAAAGCUCUGUCGGGUGGAAAGAAAUGUAUGGGGUUAAUAGCCUUACAUACUUGACGGUACCAACCAAAGGAACGCAACCGGCUAAACUCCG